This 645-nucleotide ribosomal RNA is filed under the name Burkholderia sp. Ms222. RNAcentral's name for it is "bacterial SSU rRNA". It matches the Rfam family "Bacterial small subunit ribosomal RNA", at positions 84 to 726 of the family's 1533-position model. The record is from RNAcentral. Lineage: Bacteria; Pseudomonadati; Pseudomonadota; Betaproteobacteria; Burkholderiales; Burkholderiaceae.
CCUGGCGGCGAGUGGCGAACGGGUGAGUAAUACAUCCGAACGUGUCCUGUAGUGGGGGAUAGCCCGGCGAAAGCCGGAUUAAUACCGCAUACGAUCUACGGAUGAAAGCGGGGGAUCGCAAGACCUCGCGCUAUAGGGGCGGCCGAUGGCGGAUUAGCUAGUUGGUGGGGUAAAGGCCCACCAAGGCGACGAUCCGUAGCUGGUCUGAGAGGACGACCAGCCACACUGGGACUGAGACACGGUCCAGACUCCUACGGGAGGCAGCAGUGGGGAAUUUUGGACAAUGGGCGCAAGCCUGAUCCAGCAAUGCCGCGUGUGUGAAGAAGGCCUUCGGGUUGUAAAGCACUUUUGUCCGGAAAGAAAUCCUCUGGGUUAAUACCCCGGGGGGAUGACGGUACCGGAAGAAUAAGCACCGGCUAACUACGUGCCAGCAGCCGCGGUAAUACGUAGGGUGCGAGCGUUAAUCGGAAUUACUGGGCGUAAAGCGUGCGCAGGCGGUGAUGUAAGACCGAUGUGAAAUCCCCGGGCUUAACCUGGGAACUGCAUUGGUGACUGCAUCGCUGGAGUAUGGCAGAGGGGGGUAGAAUCCACGUGUAGCAGUGAAAUGCGUAGAGAUGUGGAGGAAUACCGAUGGCGAAGGCAGCC